AUGAGGGCAGUUCUUAGGGGAUGCAAACUGUUCCAUGUCUCGAGUGGGGUUGUGGUUGCACAAAUAUCUGUACAUCUUCAAGGGAAGGAAUGGAUUUUAGUGUAUGUGAAGUAUACUUCAGGACAUCUGACUUUUAAAAUGUCAUGGCAGGAGGGAAAACAGCUUCGGAUUCGGACCCUUGUCCAUGAAGACACAUUGAAUGGAAACCCAAGGGCAGACUCGUCCAAAGUGCUCCCAGGCAGGCUGAUGAAUGAGACAAACAGACUCAGCAUACUCAGGGCCUUGAGUGGCAGGCAAAGCUCUCUGCACCACUUGCAACAGAGUCAUCAAGAAGAAGCUUGAAACUCCUUCAAGAAGGCUGCAAUUUCACAGCAUUUCCAUGGAAAUUCAGGUACUGGGAUGUUAACUUUGGGGGAAAAUGGUGGUUGAUGUUUACCGAGUUUGCAGGCUAGUUCACAGCUCACAGAAUGGGCAAGUGUCUGGCUGAAGAACCAGGACACGGGGAUCCCUGUGAGUGUUUUGGCCAGGUUGGCCAUGCUGUGGUGUGGCGUGUUUCCUGUCCAGGCGGGAGCCCUGCCCAGGGUGCUGUGAGGUCAAAGCUAAGAGCACUGAUUCUACACAGGGGUCCUUUCUGUGGGGGUCAGAAGACACUCUCAAGGGCUAGGCAGUCAGAGAUUUGACUUCUGGGCCUCCGUUUAUACAUCUGCAGCAUGGAGUUAAUAAUCCCACUUAUAUCUUAGAGUUAUUGUGAUAACUCAAUGACUUUGCUAUGCAGACACAUAAUAAGCAAUAAGUACUUUAUUCCGUCCCCCAAUCUGCAGCAAAAUUGAUGUGAAUUCACCAAGUACUUGGGAAAAACAUUACUAUUUGAGGGGAAGAACUUGCCUAGAAUAGCGCGUCUCUGGUUUUCAUCCACGAUUUUAAUGCUUUUGUCCUAUUUUAUUAUUAAAUUGCUUUCUCAUUUAAUAUUGUUUACUUGUGUUUUUGAAAGCUGGAUUUAUGGCUCAAUAAGCUAUUUAUGUUUGAGCCUCGGCAAAUUGGUACAAUCUGUCCCUGAUUUUAAUUCAUGGUAUGGUUCCAGUGCCUGUGUUUGCAACAUUUUGGGAACACUGUUAAUGGCAUUUUAGUAAAAGGACAAUUUUAACAAAACAGGUUUUAAAUCCACCAGUGAGGGCUUGCUCCACCCCGAUGCCCACUUCCAAACUUGUCUUGGGGUCCUGCUUUAGGGAAAUGAGAGCGCCAUUGGGAAGACAAUCAAGAGACCCGUAUUCACUACCGCCUGUGCUGGGUUUCCAGGAAGCUUCCAGACAGCCCUGCUCCGGGGCAGCUAGGGCAACUGGGGUGGCAAUUAGGAACCAAAAACUCAACACUCCUGCUUAGAAAAUCGAUUUUAUAAUGCUCUUCGGUACGAAGCCAUCUACUUCCUUCCACUAUUUUGGAGCUGGCUAGGAGGACAAGCAGAUGGGCUCUUGGCGGGAGCCGUGGAGAGCUCUCUUCCAUGUGUAGUGUUGCAGCAGCCCUGGAGGAACUCAGCCCCUGUCCUCUCCCUCUCUGUUCCCCUUGGACAUUUCUAUUUAUGCAGAUGAUGUUAAACUGUAGUGAUUGAUUGAUUGGAGAGGGAGAGAAAGAAAGAAAAAGAGGGAGUCAGAGGGGGAGAGAGAGAGAGAGAGAGAAACGCUUCCGUGUUCUGACUUCCUCUCCAAAUGCUCCCAACAGCUGGGAGUAGGCUGGGCAGAAGCUAGGAGCCAGGAAUUCAAGCUAGGUUCUCUCCCACGGGUGGCAGAAGAAUUAGUUCAUCGCUUAGCCUGUUGGCCACAGCCCAGCUGUGGCCAUCACUGCCACCUGCCAUGCUGUGCGUCAGCUGGAAGCUGGGGUCAGGAGAUGGAGCCCAGCACUCCUGUGUGGGACUUGGGCUACCUGGCUGCUGUGCCAAACGCCCACGCCUAUGAACACAAUUUUUCAAUCAUUUUAGUCAUAGUACGUAUGCUAACUUGUAUUUUCCAUUUUUGCUGAUAAUAAAGCAAUUAAAAAUAUUUCCA
Molecule: long non-coding RNA, 2039 nt
Filed under: Oryctolagus cuniculus (rabbit)
Lineage: Eukaryota; Metazoa; Chordata; Mammalia; Lagomorpha; Leporidae
Description: lncRNA (ENSOCUG00000034794.1)
Source: RNAcentral